This 69-nucleotide transfer RNA is filed under the name Urocitellus parryii (Arctic ground squirrel). RNAcentral describes it as "Spermophilus parryii (Arctic ground squirrel) tRNA". It matches the Rfam family "tRNA". From Rfam's summary of the family: Transfer RNA (tRNA) molecules are approximately 80 nucleotides in length. Their secondary structure includes four short double-helical elements and three loops (D, anti-codon, and T loops). Further hydrogen bonds mediate the characteristic L-shaped molecular structure. tRNAs have two regions of fundamental functional importance: the anti-codon, which is responsible for specific mRNA codon recognition, and the 3' end, to which the tRNAs corresponding amino acid is attached (by aminoacyl-tRNA synthetases). tRNAs cope with the degeneracy of the genetic code in two manners: having more than one tRNA (with a specific anti-codon) for a particular amino acid; and 'wobble' base-pairing, i.e. permitting non-standard base-pairing at the 3rd anti-codon position. The record is from Rfam by way of RNAcentral. Lineage: Eukaryota; Metazoa; Chordata; Mammalia; Rodentia; Sciuridae. RNAcentral also lists the same sequence under 2 other names.
GGGGUUGUGGCUCAGUGGUAGAGCACUUGCCUAGCAUGUGUGAGACACUGGGUUGGAUCCCCAGCACCA